CCUACGGGAGACAGCAGUGAGGAAUAUUGGUCAAUGGGCGCGAGCCUGAACCAGCCAAGUCGCGUGAGGGAGGACGGCCCUACGGGUUGUAAACCUCUUUUGCCGGGGAGCAACGGGCGUCACGUGUGGCUCCACUGAGAGUACCCGGAGAAAAGGCAUCGGCUAACUCCGUGCCACCAGCCGAGGUAAUCCGGAGGAUGCGAGCGUUAUCCGUAUUUAUUGGGUUUAAAGGGUGCGUAGGCGGAUCGUUAAGUCAUGGGUCAAAUUGAGGGGCUCAACCCCUUCCCGCCAUUGAAACUGGCGCUCUUGAGUGGAAGAGAAGUAUGCGGAAUGCGUGGUGUAGCGGUGAAAUGCAUAGAUAUCACGCAGAACCCCGAUUGCGAAGGCAGCAUGCCGGCUUCCGACUGACGCUGAAGCACGAAAGCGUGGGGAUCGAACAGGAUUAGAUACCCCUGUAGUC
RNAcentral lists this ribosomal RNA (460 nucleotides) under uncultured bacterium. RNAcentral describes it as "partial 16S ribosomal RNA". It matches the Rfam family "Bacterial small subunit ribosomal RNA", at positions 338 to 795 of the family's 1533-position model. The record is from RNAcentral.